Molecule: ribosomal RNA, 468 nt
Filed under: uncultured bacterium
Lineage: Bacteria
Description: partial 16S ribosomal RNA
Rfam family: Bacterial small subunit ribosomal RNA
Source: RNAcentral
GACGAACGCUGGCGGCGUGCUUAACACAUGCAAGUCGAACGGAAAGGCCCUGCGUUUGUGGGGUGCUCGAGUGGCGAACGGGUGAGUAACACGUGAGUAACCUGCCCUUGACUUUGGGAUAACUUCAGGAAACUGGGGCUAAUACCGGAUAGGAGCUCCUGCUGCAUGGUGGGGGUUGGAAAGUGUCGGCGGUGGGGGAUGGACUCGCGGCUUAUCAGCUUGUUGGUGGGGUAGUGGCUUACCAAGGCUUUGACGGGUAGCCGGCCUGAGAGGGUGACCGGCCACAUUGGGACUGAGAUACGGCCCAGACGCCUACGGGAGGCAGCAGUGGGGAAUAUUGCACAAUGGGCGGAAGCCUGAUGCAGCAACGCCGCGUGCGGGAUGACGGCCUUCGGGUUGUAAACCGCUUUCGCCUGUGACGAAGCGUGAGUGACGGUAAUGGGUAAAGAAGCACCGGCUAACUACGUG